AAGCACUUGACAGUCAGACGCUUUCAAGGAUGCCGCCUACCAGCUCGCGCUAUACGUUGGUCGGUUUCUCCGAUGAGUUGGACUGGAGACCCGUACGUUUUGUCAAACCAGUUCCACAAAACCGAAUCUGUAGCACCUGCGGACUCGUGCGUAUUCUCACCGCUUUGCUUCCCUGUGGUCACGUGCUUUGCAAUUCGUGCUACGAGCACUGCGCUCUCGAUCGUGGACCCGUCUGCCCUUUAGACAGUAGCCCUUACCACGAGGAAGACGUUGAAUGGAGGAACUUCCCUGCCGAAAACAUCCUACAGAGGGAGGUAAAGUGCUGGAACGAAGAAACCGGAUGUGAGGCUGUGAUACCUGCUUCCGAGAUUGGCGAACAUUUUCGCAAGAAAUGCGGACAACAUUCAGUUUCUUGUCCCAAGUGCUCCGCGACAGUUUUGUGCCGAAAUGUGUGUGAACACAUAGCGUCGGACUGCAGCACAACAUUUUCGGCUACUCGGGAGGAAGAAAGGACGAAUGUAGCAGAACUCAAAGAAUCAUUCGACGAGGCUGUGGCUGGAAUAAGGACCGAGUUGCAACGAAUACUCGCUGAUAAUGACGCACAAAGGGAGAUGCUCCACGAUGUCAACCACGGAAUAAACUCUCUUGGAGAAGCAAUUAAAGACCAGUUCCCAGAGGCAGAUAGACGGAGCAAUGAGAAUUUUGUGGAAAAGAUUGACGUUGCUCGGGACGCUGCGGCGUCCUUGAAAUCUCGUUGUGCCACACUGAGCAGUCAAAUUGAGGAAAUAUUUCUCAGUGCCAACACUAAUAGAGAAACAUCAGGACAGGAAGCUGAAGGCAGUGCUGAAGAAGUACGUGGAAAGAUAACAGCAAAUACAGAGGAAAUAUCGAGGUUAACGUUACACCUGAAAGAAAGCACCCAAAAAGCACUGAAACACAUUGAAGAUGUGCUGCUGCAACUUUCCGUGAAUACCACAAAGUACCAUUUCAUCAUUAAUGGAGUGAACUCCCUGAAAGAAACAGCAAUGGAGAAAGGCUCGGCGUUGUUUGCCUUCAAGCGAUUAUGCUUCCGCGGUUACUUUAUGGUGCCGGGUGUGGAUUUCAGGAAACACGGUGACUCGGUCUCACUGCACAUAUUAAUUGACCUGAAGAAAGGCCCAUUCGAUGAGGGAAAUGCCUGGCCCUUCGCGUAUGACAUAAAGCUCAGCAUAGUCCAUCCAGUUUCGGGGCAAGCACGGACUCAUGAAUUUAAAGCCAGAAAUUCUACGUCGAAGCACCUAACAAAGCCAGAGGAGCCAAGUGAAGGACCAGCAUUUGUCAUGAAUGCGUCUUUUUACUUGAAAGACCUUGAGCGUGAUGGCUAUGUAAGGGAUAAUGAGUUGCACAUCAUAUGGGAAAUUAUUUUAUAAGAGAAGCUUGAACAGACACCGACGGGCGUUUAUUCGCUCCGGUAUUCCAUAUCCUGUAAAGAGGGUAUUGCAUACUUGAAGUUUCACUAGCCGAGUACUAUUAAAGAUGACUGAUAUAUAAGAUAGCUAAGCUGCGCUCCCGAGUUUUUUUUUUUUCUAAGUCAGAUUAUAUCACCUUGUGUAUAUUGAAUUUUUUUCGUGUGUGCAAUAUAUAUUUCUUUCAGCAACGCAAGAUUUGUCUUCGAGCCCUGAGUGCACAACACCGAUAUUAGAGAUCCCACUCUUGGCAACUCGGGAAAAACUUCGCGCUGUUCCCUUAAAGUAUGCACCAAGCCAUCAUAGAGACGGUGCGGAACAUGCGAUUUUGUUAUGCUGUGUGCUCUGAUGACUUAGUGUAAGUCUUACUCUAAUAUUGAUAGGACCAUAUCCACUAUAGGUGGGUUGGGCUGUCCCGUGCUAUGGUUUGAUUCGAAAGAGCAAUGACUAGAUGGUGACUAGCGCACACACGCCAUCACUACCAGACAUAUCCUCAUGUUAAUAUCAUUGUUAGUUACGCAUGUCUUUAUGUAACCAGACUUACAUUGAAUAAACGUAA
Molecule: RNA transcript, 2004 nt
Organism: Dermacentor silvarum
Lineage: Eukaryota; Metazoa; Arthropoda; Arachnida; Ixodida; Ixodidae
Gene name: TNF receptor-associated factor 6-like
Exons: 3
Source: RefSeq, a predicted model, not a curated record